Molecule: long non-coding RNA, 3445 nt
Filed under: Malus domestica (apple)
Lineage: Eukaryota; Viridiplantae; Streptophyta; Magnoliopsida; Rosales; Rosaceae
Description: long non-coding RNA (MDOM_LNC000352)
Source: RNAcentral
UAUAUCUCCAUCGUUUCUUAACCAAAACUCAUGAAAUUGGUCUCAAUUUAAAGCUUAUAACUAGAAGAAUACAUCCUUACCAAUUUCAAGGCUUGAAAUCCAUGAAAACUUGCCGGAGAGAGCUCAAUAAUUUCGGCCAAAUUUCAAACUCUCCAAACUUGACGUCCAAUUUGCUUGGUUUUUCUUCUCCGAGCUUCGUAAGAACAUCCUAAAGCUUCCUAUGAGCUUAAAAUCCCUUGAAACAUCCAUAAUUAUGACCACAUGAACAAUACUCAAAUUGGGAGUGAUGGUUUCUCAUGUUUUUGAGGGUUUCACGAUUUAAAAAUGGCAUAAAUGAACUCAGGGAUUUGCAAGGAGUUUGAAUCUUACAUUCUUGACGUCGAUCUAUGCAUGAAAUGUGAGUUUGGCGUUCGUCCGUACAAAGUUGAUGGAAACAGAAGAAAAUCAAGAGGGAGGAGAAAGAGAGUGCACGGGAAGGAGAGAAAGAGAGGGAGUUGGAGUAUGUGUGUGGUCCAAAAUUGUCCACUCCAACCAACCAAAACAACAAAACAACUUAAUUCCAAUUAGUUGCACGUACUUAAGAAAAUAACUUGGACCUAAACCUAUGUCAUGUAUGCACACUACUACCCACGUGUAAGGGUAAAAUCGUCCUUUCACACCAUCGAUAAAAUUAUCCCAGGACGGGUUGUGACAAAUAUUCUAGCCAAAUACAUCAAUUUGAGUUGUUUAAACCUAAUCUAAUUAGCUGCUUAGUACGACGGUCUAGUUGUGACAACUCGUCCCUAGUUCUAUGAUUUUAUAAAUUUUAAAAGUGUGAAUUUAUGAAAAUGCCCUAGAGGUGAUGACACACCCCGAUCUAGAGGAUCCAGGCGUGCUGGCCGUCACGUGAGCGUGACGUAACCAUAAGUGCGACACGGAAGCAAAACAAUAACAUACAAGAAGGAAUUCAACCCAACUCUAGCAGAACAAUCUAUUAGAAUAAUAGGAUGAGCUAAGAUAAACACAUAAAUUCAGAGCAUAGGUUUAGGUGCAGUCAAGUAUGACUAAAACAAAAGUACAUCACCCUUAGGUGAGUCCUACAUGUCAAGCGUUUGUCAGAAUGCCGGAAAAAGACCUCGAGAGCCACCAACUGCUAACUAGAACCUGGAGGGGCGCAUAACAAAGAUGAGUGGGUCAAUAAAAUCAAAGAUUUUCCAAAACAUUUUAUUUAAAACGUUUCUAACCCCUCACCGUAAAACCUGUAUACUUUCCCAGAAAAAUAAUAUAUAAACAUAUAUAUACACAUAUCAUCAAAACUCAGCUCAUAUCCAUCAACAUAACAUCUCAGAAAUAGUGUGCCACGCCAUGCCAAAUAUAAUCAGAAAUGCAUCAAUAUCAAUCAGGUGAAAUAAUAAAUCAACCGAAGACCCUACAAUAGUCCUGUACGGCUGAUUCUAAAGCUCAAUAUCCCACUCAACCGGAGUCACCACAGUGACCUAUACGGCCCUGCCGGAGUCACCAACUAUGACCUGUACAGCACUACACUGCAUAUCACUCGGAACUACGUAAAGUAGUCUGUACGAUGAAAGGUGUAUAAUUAUGCUCUAGUGCUUCUCUCAUCAAUCAUCAGCGCGCAUAACUAAGGUCACCCACUAGUCGGAAUCACAUCUAGUGAUCUAUACGACUAGCAUGUCGGAACCCUCACAUGGUCUGUACGACAUCCACCUACUUGGAUCCAAGACGAGCGUGCGGUGUGGUGAAUAACAAUAUAAGCACUAACACCUAGGGUGCAGGUUAUGAGCUUCAAUGCAAUUCUCAUAAAUAAAUCAUCUGAAUAAUAUAAAAACUCACCUGUGCAUCCACCGCGUCAAUUAACAUAUAUAUGCAUCAAUUAUCAAACUAAAUAUCUCAACAUUUGCAUGCAUGGCAAUUUAAAUCAUAAUUUUCAUAUAAACGCAUUUUCUGGGAAAAACAGUUGUAUAUAGGUAAUACGAAAACAAAACUGCCCAUUCACUGGUAAGUCGAUGGGUCGUAACCCCCGUGACGUCCCUGGAUACGCUCGUCCUCGGGAUAAGUGUCACCUAUAUGCGAAACAACUAUAAAAACGUUAAUUUAAACACAUAACCAAUCAUUCGAAAUAACUUCUCAUACGAUGCUCAAUUUGGGUAUAUGAAUAUACCACAUCGACCUACUCGACGUCAUGGACGUCGGGAUAUUUUUAGAAAAAUUUUUGGAUGGCCCACGCGCCCCCACGCGCCAGGACAGGCACGGGGACACGCGCCCCCAUGCGCAUCGUCCCCUACCUCGACUCGCCGGACUGGUUUUUCCGGCGGUCGGUUUCCAGCCAAUUUUCAAUUUGCUUGUUCUCCUUCGUUUCUCAACCGUUCUCUUCGUAUUUUAUACCAAAAUGAAGCCCCAAACAUGUAGAAUCACGUUGGACUAGUUUUAGGGUCGAAAACUCACUGGAUUUUACCUUAGGAAGCACGAUAAUUCGGGAAAUUUUGAGGACUUCGUUCUCAGUCCUCCGACGUCCAAAUCCUUCAAAUGAAGUACUCCGAGCUUCCUUGGGACCUCACUAAGGUUGCUAUAAGCUUGAAAUUCCCUGAAACACAACAUUUUACGUGUGCAUGAACAGUGACCAAAAAUGGAGGUUUCAGGUUCAUGUGAAAUCAAGGGUCCUACGUCCUAAAACUAGCAUCAAUCAACUCAAAACAUCACGAGGAUGAAGAUUCUUACCUUGUUUGCUUCGAUCCACUGAGUUUUGAGGGGUUUUGGGUGUUGCCGUACGUUUUAGGGUGAGGGAGAGAGUGAGAGUCGUGAGGGAGAGAGAGACAGGACAGAGAGGGAGAGAGAGAGACACGGGGAGGAGAGAACAGGGAUGUGUGAGAUGGUCCACUCCCAUCCACACCAUCCAUUCACCUAAUUUCCCUAACCACAAAAAAUUUCAAAACUAAAAUUUUAUAAAGCAAAAAUUUAAAUCCAAAACUUAUAAAAUUUAAUCCAAAUAACGUCACACCCACGUACCUUAAUACCCACCAAGGGUAAAUCCGUCAAUUCACGUCCCCGAUAUGAAAUUCUCGGGGCGGGCUGUGAUAGGUGAAGGUUUUGACCUUCAUUGAACAACAUGUAGUGAGAUGUACGAAAUAUUCUUUUAGUGUAUUCUUAAAGUAAUCGACGCGUAGGCGCAAGUAUAAGCGAAUUUGGAGUUACGGUUAAAGUUUCACGGAGCUAUGAACCCGAAAGUACUUUGAAGAAAUCACUAUUUUAAUUAUAUUAUAUUAUUUUAUACUACUAAAUUAUUUUGCCACAUGUGUGUGGCUGAGAGGGGAAUAGAAUAGAAUUGGGGAGGAGGAGAAACAGAGGAGAAGGAUUGGGCAGAGCUGCCCAAUCAGAGGAGAAAAGAAGAGUUCCGGGAGAGAAAUGAGGGAGGUGGGACAAAUCAAAGGAGGAGACAGGAAGAAGAAGA